Molecule: ribosomal RNA, 490 nt
Filed under: uncultured bacterium
Lineage: Bacteria
Description: partial 16S ribosomal RNA
Rfam family: Bacterial small subunit ribosomal RNA
Source: RNAcentral
AUGAACGCUGGCGGCGUGCCUAAUACAUGCACGUCGAGCGAACGGACGAGAAGCUUGCUUCUCUGAUGUUAGCGGCGGACGGGUGAGUAACACGUGGAUAACCUACCUAUAAGACUGGGAUAACUUCGGGAAACCGGAGCUAAUACCGGAUAAUAUUUUGAACCGCAUGGUUCAAAAGUGAAAGACGGUCUUGCUGUCACUUAUAGAUGGAUCCGCGCUGCAUUAGCUAGUUGGUAAGGUAACGGCUUACCAAGGCAACGAUGCAUAGCCGACCUGAGAGGGUGAGCGGCCACACUGGAACUGAGACACGGUCCAGACUCCUACGGGAGGCAGCAGUAGGGAAUCUUCCGCAAUGGGCGAAAGCCUGACGGAGCAACGCCGCGUGAGUGAUGAAGGUCUUCGGAUCGUAAAACUCUGUUAUUAGGGAAGAACAUAUGUGUAAGUAACUGUGCACAUCUUGACGGUACCUAAUCAGAAAGCCACGGCUAAC